UUCCGGUUGAUCCUGCCGGACCUGACUGCUAUCGGAUUGAUACUAAGCCAUGCGAGUCAUUGUAGCAAUACAAGGCAGACGGCUCAGUAACGCGUAGUCAACCUAACCUAUGGACGGGAAUAACCUCGGGAAACUGAGAAUAAUGCCCGAUAGAACACUAUGCCUGGAAUGGUUUGUGUUCCAAAUGAUUUAUCGCCGUAGGAUGGGACUGCGGCCUAUCAGUUUGUUGGUGAGGUAAUGGCCCACCAAGACUAUUACAGGUACGGGCUCUGAGAGGAGUAGCCCGGAGAUGGGUACUGAGACACGGACCCAGGCCCUAUGGGGCGCAGCAGGCGAGAAAACUUUGCAAUGUGCGAAAGCACGACAAGGUUAAUCCGAGUGGUUUGUGCUAAACAGACCUUUUGUUAGUCCUAGAAACACUAACGAAUAAGGGGUGGGCAAGUUCUGGUGUCAGCCGCCGCGGUAAAACCAGCACCUCAAGUGGUCAGGAUGAUUAUUGGGCCUAAAGCAUCCGUAGCCGGCUCUGUAAGUUUUCGGUUAAAUCUGUAUGCUCAACAUACAGGCUGCCGGGAAUACUGCAGAGCUAGGGAGUGGGAGAGGUAGACGGUACUCGGUAGGAAGGGGUAAAAUCCUUUGAUCUAUUGAUGACCACCUGUGGCGAAGGCGGUCUACCAGAACACGUCCGACGGUGAGGGAUGAAAGCUGGGGGAGCAAACCGGAUUAGAUACCCGGGUAGUCCCAGCUGUAAACUAUGCAAACUCAGUGAUGCAUUGGCUUGUGGCCAAUGCAGUGCUGCAGGGAAGCCGUUAAGUUUGCCGCCUGGGAAGUACGUACGCAAGUAUGAAACUUAAAGGAAUUGGCGGGGGAGCACCACAAGGGGUGAAGCCUGCGGUUCAAUUGGAGUCAACGCCGGA
Molecule: ribosomal RNA, 914 nt
Filed under: uncultured archaeon
Lineage: Archaea
Description: bacterial SSU rRNA
Rfam family: Archaeal small subunit ribosomal RNA
Source: RNAcentral